AUUGAACGCUGGCGGCAGGCCUAACACAUGCAAGUCGAGCGGAUGAAGGGAGCUUGCUCCUGGAUUCAGCGGCGGACGGGUGAGUAAUGCCUAGGAAUCUGCCUGGUAGUGGGGGAUAACGUCCGGAAACGGGCGCUAAUACCGCAUACGUCCUGAGGGAGAAAGUGGGGGAUCUUCGGACCUCACGCUAUCAGAUGAGCCUAGAUCGGAUUAGCUAGUUGGUGGGGUAAAGGCCUACCAAGGCGACGAUCCGUAACUGGUCUGAGAGGAUGAUCAGUCACACUGGAACUGAGACACGGUCCAGACUCCUACGGGAGGCAGCAGUGGGGAAUAUUGGACAAUGGGCGAAAGCCUGAUCCAGCCAUGCCGCGUGUGUGAAGAAGGUCUUUGGAUUGUAAAGCACUUUAAGUUGGGAGGAAGGGCAGUAAGUUAAUACCUUGCUGUUUUGACGUUACCAACAGAAUAAGCACCGGCUAACUUCGUG
Molecule: ribosomal RNA, 484 nt
Filed under: uncultured bacterium
Lineage: Bacteria
Description: partial 16S ribosomal RNA
Rfam family: Bacterial small subunit ribosomal RNA
Source: RNAcentral